RNAcentral lists this ribosomal RNA (354 nucleotides) under uncultured bacterium. RNAcentral describes it as "bacterial SSU rRNA". It matches the Rfam family "Bacterial small subunit ribosomal RNA", at positions 917 to 1269 of the family's 1533-position model. The record is from RNAcentral.
GGGCCCGCACAAGCAGUGGAGCAUGUGGUUUAAUUCGACGAUACGCGAAGAACCUUACCAGGACUUGACAUCCGCAGAAUUUCUAGAGAUAGAAAAGUGCUCGCAAGAGAACUGCGUGACAGGUGGUGCAUGGCUGUCGUCAGCUCGUGUCGUGAGAUGUUGGGUUAAGUCCCGCAACGAGCGCAACCCUCGUCUUGUGUUGCCAGCACUUCGGGUGGGAACUCACAAGAUACUGCCUGUGGAAAGCAGGAGGAAGGUGAGGACGACGUCAAGUCAUCAUGCCCCUUACGUCCUGGGGCUACACACAUGCUACAAUGGCCGGUACAAUGAGCUGCUAAACCGCAAGGUCAUGCG